UUUUCCGAUCAUUUCUUUGGGCCGUCAUUCCCUUCCACGCCGUGUCUGUUUCUCUAUUCACUGAAAGAGGAAGAGCUAGGGGAGGUCGGAGAGAACGCUGAGGAGACCGACGGAUCGAGGAGGCCGGGGAAGUUACCGGCACCGGCGGGCAGGGGAUAUGCCAUCAGUGAGCAUAUGUUCCGAAGUUCUGAGAGUGCAUUGGAUGAUUUGGUUUGAACCAUUGCUUCAGUAUUUGCAUAUGAAGGUAAAUUUAAUCCCCUUAUGGUUAUUCAGUGUCCGACCGUGUCUAAUCCAGUGUUGAGAGCCACGAGCAAAACAACGCAUCAAGUGAGGAAGUACCAAAAUCUGAUUUUUAUUCAUCCGUUAGCUAUUAAUUUCCUCUAAAUUGUGGAAAAACCGGUGCUGUCAAGGAUUUUGAAGAGGAUCCUGCAGGUGCCCUUGGGGAUGUAUUCAAACUACCAGCAAUGCUGAGGAACACGGCGACGUAGUCCACUUAUCAUUUGUUGAAGCCUGCCAUGUACACCUUGAGGCGUUAGCCUAUGACGUCUACGAGGAUCGUGUGGCGGGCAUCCACGCCCACUUGGAGUAAUGGGUUAUCAUGCCGGCGGGAGUUUCCUCUUUCACUAAGUUCUGUUUUCUCUUUGACCAGUCCUCAAUUAUCAUUCUUCAGCUUUCAUUUUCCUCAUUAUGCUCAGUUUCUUCAGCCCCUCAUUAUCAUUUGUUCAGUCAUACUAGUCACCAUUCUAGUAUCCCAUCCUCUCAGUUUACCUCUUAUUUCUUCAGUUUAGCCAUUCUUGGUCUUAUUUGUUCAGUCACUCUUCUCUUAGUAUUAUCAUUCUUAGUCUAUCAGUUUAGCAAAUAUUUGUUCAAUCUUCUUUCUUUAGUUUAUUGUGUAUUGUCAGUCUUGUUUGCUCAGUCAGUCUUCUAUCAGUCUUAUCUCCAGUUUUAAGUAUUCUUCAGAUAUUAGUCUUUCUAUAAAUUAUCAUUAACCCAGGCAUUCAGUUUUUCAGCCUUAGUCUUCGUUCUCAUUUUUUAGCUUUGAUUCUCUCAUAUUUUUGGAGUUUCGUUAUUUCCCUUCAGUCUUUGAUUCUCUAAGUUGUCUCAUUUUUGUUCAUUCCUCGUUGCUUAGUCCUUUCUUCUUCAGUUUAUCUAUGUCUCUUUCUUCAGUUCAUGUUUGUCUCUUUCAAGCUUUUUCUUCAUUCUUCAUUCUUCAUUAUUUAUCUUCUCUCUUGGAUUCCUCUUUGCUCAGUCAUUCCUUCUCCAGCUCAUCUAUGUCAUUUUAUUACUUUCUGUUCUUUAUUUGCUCAAUCUUGCCUUCUUCAUUAUCUCAGUUUCUUUCUCCGUUUUAUGAUUAGUAUUUUCUGUUCACCGUGUGCUCCCUCGACUACGCGGAAGAAGAUGAUGACAACCAUGGCCAUUUGUUAGUAAGUAGCUUUGUUAGUAUCUCAGUUCCGCGCACUUUUUUAGUCUGCGGUAUUGUUUAAGUACACGCCCCUUUUUCAUUUUUUAGCUUGCUUAGAAAUUUCUUGUGCCCGGAUCGGUCAUUGAUAGGGUCAUGAUUCGUACAUUCUUCCAGAUGUAACAUCCAACGAACAAGUCCAAUUGGCCUUGCACUUAAGCUCUAGGAACUGAUACUUCUAAAUUAUUAUAUAUCUAUGUUAUGGUCGGUCUGACCUAUACACGUAGGAAGCCCACUAGUGGCUAGUUAUGGGCUUAGCCCAAGUAAAUUAGGGGCUUAGCCCAAGUAAAUUAGGGUUUCGAGGAGGCCGUCCUCCUAUAUAAACACUUGUAUCCCUUCAAGAUUAAUCAGACAAUAAUUCAGUAUCA
This is a long non-coding RNA of Lolium perenne, 1827 nucleotides long. RefSeq lists it as uncharacterized. The record is from RefSeq and is a predicted model, not a curated record. NCBI's taxonomy places the organism in Eukaryota, Viridiplantae, Streptophyta, Magnoliopsida, Poales, Poaceae.